UACGUAGGGGGCAAGCGUUGUCCGGAUUUAUUGGGCGUAAAGAGCGUGUAGGCGGCCAGAUAGGUCAGCUGUGAAAACUCGAGGCUCAACCUCGAGAUGUCGGCUGAAACCAUCUGGCUAGAGUCCGGAAGAGGAGAAUGGAAUUCCUGGUGUAGCGGUGAAAUGCGCAGAUAUCAGGAAGAACACCAAUGGCGAAAGCAGCUUUCUGGGACGGUACUGACGCUGAGACGCGAAAGCGUGGGGAGCGAACAGG
This 253-nucleotide ribosomal RNA is filed under the name uncultured bacterium. RNAcentral describes it as "partial 16S ribosomal RNA". It matches the Rfam family "Bacterial small subunit ribosomal RNA", at positions 524 to 776 of the family's 1533-position model. The record is from RNAcentral.